CAAUUGGUUUCUCUCUUUCAGGUUCCAAAAUCCUGAGAAUCAACUGGUCGUUUCAUACAUCUUCUUUGCUCUUUUCCAACUUCUACCCCAUUUUUCAUCAUCAUCAACUACUAAUCUUCAGGGAUCAAUGGAACAAAUUCUUAUAUCCCACCAUUCAAGUAGGCGAAAUUACAGGCCAAAAGGGUUGGACAAGAAAAGGGUUCUUCAGAUUAUUUUGCUUUUAGCAAUUUGCAUUUGGUUGGGACACCAAGUCAAGAACUCGCAUCACCAACAUGAGGGUUACAAUGAGAAUCCUCAAAGUCCAAGUGAAAGAAAUAUAACCAUAGUUUUGGGCCGCAGGGGGAUCGAAAAGUAUAAGAAUGGAGCUAAUGCAGAAUUUCAAGAUACAAAUGAUUCACAGGAAUAUGAAAGAAGAGGCGGAGGUGUAGGAGACGAUGAGAUUGAUGGAAUUAUUAGUGC
RNAcentral lists this unclassified non-coding RNA (459 nucleotides) under Hevea brasiliensis (rubber tree). Lineage: Eukaryota; Viridiplantae; Streptophyta; Magnoliopsida; Malpighiales; Euphorbiaceae. The record is from RNAcentral.